RNA transcript from Physcomitrium patens, 579 nucleotides. RefSeq lists it as uncharacterized. The record is from RefSeq and is a predicted model, not a curated record. Lineage: Eukaryota; Viridiplantae; Streptophyta; Bryopsida; Funariales; Funariaceae.
CCAGCUGCUCAACUCCUCGGACUUUGACCCGGUCAAGCAACAAGAGACGUAAGCUCAAUCAGUGAAGCAGCAUCUGACACCCCAACCCCAUCUUCCACACCCACACCCACACGACACUUUGUGGGAAGCAGUUGCUUGUUGCCUAGCAAAUCAGCAGUUUGCUUGCUGCUGGCAUGGUUGGGUUGUGCUCACGGUGACGCGAAGUCUAUUCGAGAAAAGACGUCGGAAAAUUAGAGAUUGGGUUUGAAAAGUUGGAUUGCGAGAGUGCUACAAUUCAAGGCAAGGAUGGCCUUCGUAGAAAGGAAUUCUUUAGAAAGUGUCACUUUAGUAGAAAAAGUUGGAGUGAAUGCUUUGGAGAAUUUUUUUAUUGUUUUGUAUUUGAUUGUUGUUUUGUUUUGUUUUUGUAGUUGAGUUUUGAAGUCCUCCAAAUUUGGAUUUUAUUUGUUGCUGAUGAAGAAGUUGAAACCAUUAUUUUGUUGGUAUCAUUAGUUGUAACAAUGUUGUAUAAAUUAGCAAAAUUUACAAAGAGUGUAUUUUUUGAGGUCACAAUAAUGUUAGUAUGCCAAUGUUAUUUGUACA